This 22-nucleotide microRNA is filed under the name Medicago truncatula (barrel medic). Its description in RNAcentral is "mtr-miR2603". The record is from miRBase by way of RNAcentral. Lineage: Eukaryota; Viridiplantae; Streptophyta; Magnoliopsida; Fabales; Fabaceae.
UUUGGUAUUGGUCCCUGCACUU